CCUACGGGCGGCUGCAGUGAGGAAUAUUGGUCAAUGGACGAGAGUCUGAACCAGCCAAGUAGCGUGAAGGAUGACUGCCCUAUGGGUUGUAAACUUCUUUUAUAUGGGAAUAAAAUGUUCCACGUGUGGGAUUUUGUAUGUACCCUAUGAAUAAGGAUCGGCUAACUCCGUGCCAGCAGCCGCGGUAAUACGGAGGAUCCGAGCGUUAUCCGGAUUUAUUGGGUUUAAAGGGAGCGUAGGUGGAUUGUUAAGUCAGUUGUGAAAGUUUGCGGCUCAACCGUAAAAUUGCAGUUGAAACUGGCAGUCUUGAGUGCAGUAGAGGUGGGCGGAAUGCGUGGUGUAGCGGUGAAAUGCUUAGAUAUCACGAAGAACUCCGAUUGCGAAGGCAGUUCACUGGACUGCAACUGACACUGAGGCUCGAAAGUGUGGGUAUCAAACAGGAUUAGAUACCCUUGUAGUC
This 460-nucleotide ribosomal RNA is filed under the name uncultured bacterium. RNAcentral describes it as "partial 16S ribosomal RNA". It matches the Rfam family "Bacterial small subunit ribosomal RNA", at positions 338 to 795 of the family's 1533-position model. The record is from RNAcentral.